CGUGUAGGCGGUUAGGCAAGUCAGAUGUGAAAGCCUUCCGCUCAACGGAAGAAGGGCAUUUGAAACUACCCGGCUGGAGUACGGGAGAGGAGAGUGGAAUUCCCGGUGUAGAGGUGAAAUUCGUAGAUAUCGGGAGGAACACCAGUGGCGAAGGCGGCUCUCUGGUCCGAUACUGACGCUGAGACGCGAAAGCGUGGGGAGCAAACAGGAUUAGAUACCCUGGUAGUCCACGCCGUAAACGAUGGGCACUAGGUGUAGGAGGUAUUGACCCCUUCUGUGCCGAAGCUAACGCAUUAAGUGCCCCGCCUGGGGAGUACGGCCGCAAGGCUAAA
RNAcentral lists this ribosomal RNA (332 nucleotides) under uncultured bacterium. RNAcentral's name for it is "bacterial SSU rRNA". It matches the Rfam family "Bacterial small subunit ribosomal RNA", at positions 568 to 898 of the family's 1533-position model. The record is from RNAcentral.